AUAAAGGUAAGCUAAUUUAAGCUAAUGGGUUCAUACCCCAUCCAUGGAGGUUGUAAUCCACCCCUUUUUA
Molecule: transfer RNA, 70 nt
Filed under: Compsorhipis davidiana
Lineage: Eukaryota; Metazoa; Arthropoda; Insecta; Orthoptera; Acrididae
Description: tRNA-Met
Source: RNAcentral